AGUGAACGCUGGCGAUAGGCCUAACACAUGCAAGUCGAACGGCAGCACAGUAAGAGCUUGCUCUUACGGGUGGCGAGUGGCGGACGGGUGAGGAAUACAUCGGAAUCUACUUUUUCGUGGGGGAUAACGUAGGGAAACUUACGCUAAUACCGCAUACGACCUACGGGUGAAAGCAGGGGAUCUUCGGACCUUGCGCGAUUGAAUGAGCCGAUGUCGGAUUAGCUAGUUGGCGGGGUAAAGGCCCACCAAGGCGACGAUCCGUAGCUGGUCUGAGAGGAUGAUCAGCCACACUGGAACUGAGACACGGUCCAGACUCCUACGGGAGGCAGCAGUGGGGAAUAUUGGACAAUGGGCGCAAGCCUGAUCCAGCCAUACCGCGUGGGUGAAGAAGGCCUUCGGGUUGUAAAGCCCUUUUGUUGGGAAAGAAAAGCAGCAGGUUAAUACCCCGCUGUUCUGACGGUACCCAAAGAAUAAGCACCAGCUAACUUCGUG
Molecule: ribosomal RNA, 492 nt
Filed under: uncultured bacterium
Lineage: Bacteria
Description: partial 16S ribosomal RNA
Rfam family: Bacterial small subunit ribosomal RNA
Source: RNAcentral